UAGCGACAGGCCUAACACAUGCAAGUCGAGGGGCGAGCACAAGGAGCAAUCUGAGGUGGCGACCGGCGCACGGGUGAGUAACACGUAUGCAACCUGCCUGUAAGCGGGGAAGUAACCCGUUGAAAGACGGACUAAUACCGCAUAAUACUAAAUUACUGCAUGGUAAUUUAUUUAAACAUUUAUGGCUUACAGAUGGGCAUGCGCAUGAUUAGCUAGUUGGAGAGGUAACGGCUCCCCAAGGCAACGAUCAUUAGGGGUUCUGAGAGGAAGGUCCCCCCACACUGGUACUGAGACACGGACCAGACUCCUACGGGAGGCAGCAGUGAGGAAUAUUGGUCAAUGGACGAGAGUCUGAACCAGCCAAGUCGCGUGCAGGAAGAAUUGUCCUAUGGAUUGUAAACUGCUUUUGCAGGGGAAUAAAGUGCAUCACGUGUGAUGUUUUGUAUGUACUCUGCGAAUAAGGAUCGGCUAACUCCGUGCCAGCCGCCGC
RNAcentral lists this ribosomal RNA (490 nucleotides) under uncultured bacterium. Its description in RNAcentral is "bacterial SSU rRNA". It matches the Rfam family "Bacterial small subunit ribosomal RNA", at positions 37 to 518 of the family's 1533-position model. The record is from RNAcentral.